RNAcentral lists this ribosomal RNA (915 nucleotides) under Candidatus Phytoplasma asteris-related phytoplasma. Its description in RNAcentral is "bacterial SSU rRNA". It matches the Rfam family "Bacterial small subunit ribosomal RNA", at positions 218 to 1142 of the family's 1533-position model. Lineage: Bacteria; Bacillati; Mycoplasmatota; Mollicutes; Acholeplasmatales; Acholeplasmataceae. The record is from RNAcentral.
CUUAGGGAGGAGCUUGCGUCACAUUAGUUAGUUGGUGGGGUAAAGGCCUACCAAGACUAUGAUGUGUAGCCGGGCUGAGAGGUUGAACGGCCACAUUGGGACUGAGACACGGCCCAAACUCCUACGGGAGGCAGCAGUAGGGAAUUUUCGGCAAUGGAGGAAACUCUGACCGAGCAACGCCGCGUGAACGAUGAAGUAUUUCGGUACGUAAAGUUCUUUUAUUAGGGAAGAAUAAAUGAUGGAAAAAUCAUUCUGACGGUACCUAAUGAAUAAGCCCCGGCUAACUAUGUGCCAGCAGCCGCGGUAAUACAUAGGGGGCAAGCGUUAUCCGGAAUUAUUGGGCGUAAAGGGUGCGUAGGCGGUUAAAUAAGUUUAUGGUCUAAGUGCAAUGCUCAACAUUGUGAUGCUAUAAAAACUGUUUAGCUAGAGUAAGAUAGAGGCAAGUGGAAUUCCAUGUGUAGUGGUAAAAUGCGUAAAUAUAUGGAGGAACACCAGUAGCGAAGGCGGCUUGCUGGGUCUUUACUGACGCUGAGGCACGAAAGCGUGGGGAGCAAACAGGAUUAGAUACCCUGGUAGUCCACGCCGUAAACGAUGAGUACUAAACGUUGGGUAAAACCAGUGUUGAAGUUAACACAUUAAGUACUCCGCCUGAGUAGUACGUACGCAAGUAUGAAACUUAAAGGAAUUGACGGGACUCCGCACAAGCGGUGGAUCAUGUUGUUUAAUUCGAAGGUACCCGAAAAACCUCACCAGGUCUUGACAUGCUUCUGCAAAACUGUAGAAACACAGUGGAGGUUAUCAGUUGCACAGGUGGUGCAUGGUUGUCGUCAGCUCGUGUCGUGAGAUGUUGGGUUAAGUCCCGCAACGAGCGCAACCCUUAUUGNUAGUUACCAGCACGUAAUGGUGGGGACUUUA